Molecule: ribosomal RNA, 458 nt
Filed under: Pseudomonas sp. Arv-21-2.3
Lineage: Bacteria; Pseudomonadati; Pseudomonadota; Gammaproteobacteria; Pseudomonadales; Pseudomonadaceae
Description: bacterial SSU rRNA
Rfam family: Bacterial small subunit ribosomal RNA
Source: RNAcentral
UGCAAGUCGAGCGGAUGAAGGGAGCUUGCUCCCUGAUUCAGCGGCGGACGGGUGAGUAAUGCCUAGGAAUCUGCCUGGUAGUGGGGGACAACGUCUCGAAAGGGACGCUAAUACCGCAUACGUCCUACGGGAGAAAGUGGGGGAUCUUCGGACCUCACGCUAUCAGAUGAGCCUAGGUCGGAUUAGCUAGUUGGUGAGGUAAUGGCUCACCAAGGCGACGAUCCGUAACUGGUCUGAGAGGAUGAUCAGUCACACUGGAACUGAGACACGGUCCAGACUCCUACGGGAGGCAGCAGUGGGGAAUAUUGGACAAUGGGCGAAAGCCUGAUCCAGCCAUGCCGCGUGUGUGAAGAAGGUCUUCGGAUUGUAAAGCACUUUAAGUUGGGAGGAAGGGCAGUAAAUUAAUACUUUGCUGUUUUGACGUUUCCGACAGAAUAAGCACCGGCUAACUCUGUGCC